AACGAACGCUGGCGGCAUGCCUAACACAUGCAAGUCGAACGAGACCUUCGGGUCUAGUGGCGCACGGGUGCGUAACGCGUGGGAACCUGCCCUUAGGUUCGGAAUAACUCCCCGAAAGGGGUGCUAAUACCGGAUAAUGUCUUCGGACCAAAGAUUUAUCGCCUUUGGAUGGGCCCGCGUUGGAUUAGCUAGUUGGUAGGGUAAAAGCCCACCAAGGCGACGAUCCAUAGCUGGUCUGAGAGGAUGAUCAGCCACACUGGGACUGAGACACGGCCCAGACUCCUACGGGAGGCAGCAGUGGGGAAUAUUGGACAAUGGGCGAAAGCCUGAUCCAGCAAUGCCGCGUGAGUGAUGAAGGCCUUAGGGUUGUAAAGCUCUUUUACCCGGGAUGAUAAUGACAGUACCGGGAGAAUAAGCUCCGGCUAACUCCGU
RNAcentral lists this ribosomal RNA (432 nucleotides) under uncultured bacterium. Its description in RNAcentral is "partial 16S ribosomal RNA". It matches the Rfam family "Bacterial small subunit ribosomal RNA", at positions 29 to 506 of the family's 1533-position model. The record is from RNAcentral.